Molecule: non-coding RNA, 408 nt
Organism: Clupea harengus (Atlantic herring)
Lineage: Eukaryota; Metazoa; Chordata; Actinopteri; Clupeiformes; Clupeidae
Source: the annotation of a RefSeq genome assembly
UCAGAGGGCUUCAGUGCUUUACUGCCACUGAGAAGAACCUUAAAGAUGAUUUCUCUUACUGUAAUCCUACUAGCUAUGGGACUCAUAGCACAAGAGUCAUCAGCUGAUAUAAUUCUGACUCAGCCUCCCUCAUCAAAGUCUGUUCAGGCUGGAGAAACUGUCUCUAUCAGCUGCACAGCCAGUCAGAGUGUUAGCAACGCUCUGAACUGGUACUCCCAGAAACCUGGAGAAGCUCCUAAACUCCUGAUCUACAGUACAUCAGCUCGUCAGUCGGGUGUUCCAGAUCGUUUCAGUGGGAGUGGGUCUACUUAUACACAGUACACUCUGACCAUCAGCAGAGUCCAGCCUGAAGAUGCUGCAGAUUAUUAUUGUCAGCAGGGUGCUGCAUAUCCAUUCACACAGUGUUAG